UAGAUACCCGGGUAGUCCACGCCGUAAACGAUGAGCACUAGAUUUUGGGGGUAUUGACUCCUUCAGAAUCGCAGCUAACGCAUUAAGUGCUCCGCCUGGGGAGUACGGUCGCAAGACUAAAACUCAAAGGAAUUGACGGGGGCCCGCACAAGCGGUGGAUUACGUGGUUUAAUUCGAAGCAACGCGAAGAACCUUACCUAGGCUUGAACUCCUGAGAAUUCCGGGUAAUGCCGGAAGUGCCCUUCGGGGAAUUCAGUGAGAGGUGCUGCAUGGCCGCCGUCAGAAG
RNAcentral lists this ribosomal RNA (286 nucleotides) under uncultured bacterium. RNAcentral describes it as "partial 16S ribosomal RNA". It matches the Rfam family "Bacterial small subunit ribosomal RNA", at positions 779 to 1061 of the family's 1533-position model. The record is from RNAcentral.